RNAcentral lists this ribosomal RNA (253 nucleotides) under uncultured bacterium. RNAcentral describes it as "partial 16S ribosomal RNA". It matches the Rfam family "Bacterial small subunit ribosomal RNA", at positions 524 to 776 of the family's 1533-position model. The record is from RNAcentral.
UACGUAGGGUGCGAGCGUUGUCCGGAAUCAUUGGGCGUAAAGCGCGUGUAGGCGGUCCGGUAAGUCCGCUGUGAAAGUCGAGGGCUCAACCCUCGAAUGCCGGUGGAUACUGUCGGGCUUGAGUACGGGAGAGGCGAGUGGAAUUCCUGGUGUAGCGGUGAAAUGCGCAGAUAUCAGGAGGAACACCGAUUGCGAAGGCAGCUCGCUGGAACGUUACUGACGCUGAGACGCGAAAGCGUGGGGAGCAAACAGG